UUAUUUUAUUAAUCAAUGUUACAUCCAAUGACUAGAGAGUUUGAAAAAGGUGCCAAAGGUGAGCAUCGGCAGGCAAUGGAGCGAGCCGACUUUCACAAUGACUGACAGUUCACAAAGUGUGUGUGUUGAGAGACUGGAACUCAAAAGAGCUUCCAAAUUCACUAAUGAUCCUUCCGCAGGUUCACCUACGGAAA
This 194-nucleotide unclassified non-coding RNA is filed under the name uncultured fungus. RNAcentral's name for it is "sequence contains ITS1". Lineage: Eukaryota; Fungi. The record is from RNAcentral.